AUGCCCCAAAGGUUAAAAAAAUCGCCAACUUUUUUUGUGUUAUUUUUUGAAUGCAUACAUAUAGAUAGCUCAUUUGCUUCGUUGUAUAUCCUUUAUAGUGUCAACGAUGAGGCAUAUAUGUCAACUAUGGGUGUUGGCUCCAACAAUUCUCAUUGGUCUCAAACCAAUGACAUGCAUUUCGAUGACCAUGAGUUCAAGGUGGACGAGGAUGGUGAGGGCAUUGUCGACGCAUCGAAAGGAAGAGGAGGCAAAUACAUAAACGAUGAAGACAUAUUGCUAUGCAAUACUUAGUUGCAAGUGUCAAGGGAUCCAUACGUUGGAGGUGAUCAAGUAGAGAUGCAUAUUGGAACCGGAUGA
This 357-nucleotide ribosomal RNA is filed under the name Triticum aestivum (bread wheat). Its description in RNAcentral is "partial small subunit ribosomal RNA". Lineage: Eukaryota; Viridiplantae; Streptophyta; Magnoliopsida; Poales; Poaceae. The record is from RNAcentral.